Non-coding RNA from Odocoileus virginianus texanus, 10061 nucleotides. NCBI's taxonomy places the organism in Eukaryota, Metazoa, Chordata, Mammalia, Artiodactyla, Cervidae. The record is from RefSeq and is a predicted model, not a curated record.
GUUUGGAAGUUAAGAAACCUGCCUUUCAGGCAGUUGUCGUUUGGCCCUGCCUUAUAUAAAUCUUAGCAUUUUCUACUGCCAGGAAGAAAAGGAAUCAAUUCUAAUCAGCUCAGUCUCCUCAUUUCUCGCAUGCUCUUUGCCCUCUCUAAUUUUUUUUUUUCUUUUUCUACCAUUCUUUGGGUGAAUGGUUCUUUACCCUAACCACACGAGUUUUAUCUGUGGAACUUUAAGGGGGAAAAGAAAAAAGAGAGAUUGUAGGUAAUAGAGUACUUAAUUUCUUGGACUGUAAAGAAUUGCUGAACUAGGAUUAAUUUUUCUCUCUUAUCCUAUUCUGAAGAAAGCUUAAAUCUUAUCUCCAGCACUAAUUUGAAUACCUGUAAUGACUAAGACACCAAGAUAAGUGAUGAGGGAAUAAAAGAUGAAUAAAACUUAUUUCUGAUUUCAAAGUAGCUAAUAGACAUGAAAAACAGAAUCAAUUUUAGAAUAUUAAAUUCUGAUUAUAAAGCAGUUCUGCCCUGGGUGGUCAGUGAACUCAUCAGAGAGGGAGUUUGUCAUUUUCUGAGAUGAAGAGACUGUAAGAAAAACAGAUUUUGAAACAGGACUUGGUGGAUAAAUAUCAAGUUAACUUUUGAACAUGGUGUGGAAUAUCAAACAAAUGAUUAAGUUGACACAGGAGCAUAUAGAGGCCCUAUUGGACAAAUUUGGUGGGGAGCAUAAUCCACCAUCAAUAUAUCUGGAGGCCUAUGAAGAAUACACCAGCAAGCUAGAUGCCCUCCAACAAAGAGAACAACAGUUAUUGGAAUCCCUGGGGAAUGGAACUGAUUUUUCUGUUUCUAGCUCUGCAUCAACGGACACCGUUACAUCUUCUUCCUCUUCUAGCCUUUCAGUGCUGCCUUCAUCUCUUUCAGUUUUUCAAAAUCCCACAGAUGUGUCACGGAGCAACCCCAAGUCACCACAAAAACCUAUCGUUAGAGUCUUCCUGCCCAAUAAACAGAGGACAGUGGUACCUGCACGGUGUGGAGUCACAGUCCGGGACAGCCUGAAGAAGGCGCUGAUGAUGAGAGGUCUAAUCCCAGAGUGCUGUGCUGUUUACAGAAUUCAGGAUGGGGAGAAGAAACCAAUUGGCUGGGACACUGAUAUUUCCUGGCUUACUGGAGAGGAAUUGCAUGUAGAAGUGUUGGAGAAUGUUCCACUUACAACACACAACUUUGUACGGAAAACUUUUUUCACCUUAGCAUUUUGUGACUUCUGUCGAAAGCUGCUUUUCCAGGGGUUCCGCUGUCAAACAUGUGGUUAUAAAUUUCACCAGCGUUGUAGUACAGAGGUUCCACUGAUGUGUGUUAAUUAUGACCAACUAGAUUUGCUGUUUGUCUCCAAGUUCUUUGAACACCACCCAAUACCACAGGAGGAGGCCUCCUUAGCAGAGACUACCCUUCCAUGUGGCUCAUCCCCUUCUGCACCCCCCUCCGAUUCUAUUGGGCCCCCAGUUCUCACCAGUCCGUCUCCUUCAAAAUCCAUUCCAAUUCCACAGCCUUUCCGACCAGCAGAUGAAGAUCAUCGAAAUCAGUUUGGACAACGAGACCGGUCCUCAUCAGCUCCAAAUGUACAUAUAAACACAAUAGAACCCGUCAAUAUUGAUGACUUGAUUAGAGACCAAGGGUUUCGUAGUGAUGGAGGAUCAACCACAGGCUUAUCUGCCACACCCCCUGCCUCAUUACCUGGCUCACUCUCUAAUGUGAAAGCAUUGCAGAAAUCUCCAGGACCUCAGCGAGAAAGAAAGUCCUCUUCAUCGUCAGAAGACAGGAAUCGAAUGAAAACACUUGGUAGACGGGAUUCAAGUGACGAUUGGGAGAUUCCUGAUGGACAGAUCACAGUGGGACAAAGAAUUGGAUCUGGGUCAUUUGGGACAGUCUACAAGGGAAAGUGGCAUGGUGAUGUGGCAGUGAAAAUGUUGAAUGUGACAGCACCCACACCUCAGCAGUUACAGGCCUUCAAAAAUGAAGUAGGAGUACUCAGGAAAACUCGACAUGUGAAUAUCCUCCUCUUCAUGGGUUAUUCAACAAAGCCACAACUGGCUAUUGUUACCCAGUGGUGUGAGGGCUCCAGUUUAUAUCAUCAUCUCCACAUCAUUGAGACCAAAUUCGAGAUGAUCAAACUUAUAGAUAUUGCACGGCAAACUGCACAGGGCAUGGAUUACUUACACGCCAAGUCAAUCAUCCACAGAGACCUCAAGAGUAAUAAUAUUUUUCUUCAUGAAGACCUCACAGUAAAAAUAGGUGAUUUUGGUCUAGCCACAGUGAAAUCUCGAUGGAGUGGGUCCCAUCAGUUUGAACAGUUGUCUGGAUCCAUUUUGUGGAUGGCACCAGAAGUAAUCAGAAUGCAAGAUAAAAACCCAUAUAGCUUUCAGUCAGAUGUAUAUGCAUUUGGGAUUGUUCUGUAUGAAUUGAUGACUGGACAGUUACCUUAUUCAAAUAUCAACAACAGGGACCAGAUAAUUUUUAUGGUGGGACGAGGAUAUCUGUCUCCAGAUCUCAGUAAGGUACGGAGUAACUGUCCAAAAGCCAUGAAGAGAUUAAUGGCAGAGUGCCUAAAAAAGAAAAGAGAUGAAAGACCACUCUUUCCCCAAAUUCUCGCCUCUAUUGAGCUUCUGGCCCGCUCAUUGCCAAAAAUUCACCGCAGUGCAUCAGAACCCUCCUUAAAUCGGGCUGGCUUCCAAACAGAGGAUUUUAGUCUAUAUGCUUGUGCUUCUCCAAAAACACCCAUUCAGGCAGGGGGAUAUGAAGCAGAUUUGGCUCUUACAUCAAAUAAAAUAGAGUAGAAGUUGGAAUUUAGAGAUUUCCUGAUAUGCAAGAAAGAAUAAGCAAGAAAAAAGGAGAAUUUGCAGCCUUCAAGUAGCCACACCAUCAUGACAGCAUCUACUCUUAAUUUCUUAAGUCUUGUGUUCGUACAAUUUGUUAACAUCAAAACACAGUUCUGUUCCUCAACUCUUUUUAAAGAUAAAAGUUUUCAGUGCAUAAGCUGGUGUGGAACAGAGGAAAUUUCCCAUCCAACAAGAGAGGGAAGAAUGUUUUAGGAACCAGAACUCUCUGCUGCCAGUGUUUCUUCUUCAACACAAAUGCCACGUGUAUACAAGUCUGCCCACUCCCAGGAAGAAAGAGAGACCCUGAGUUCUGACCUUUUGAUGGUCAGGCAUGAUGGAAAGAAACCGCUGCUACAGCUUGGGAGAUUUGCUCUGGGAAGUCUGCCAGUCAACUUUGCCCUUCUAACCACCAGAUCAGUAUGUGGCUGAUCGUCUGAUGGGGCAGUCGCGAUCACCAAGCCUCGUUCUCUUUCCUGUUCUGGGAUUGUGUUGUGGAACCCUUUCCCCUGGCCGCCACCGGUUCAUUUCUGAGGGAUGGAACAAAAAUGCAGCAUGCCCUUCCUGUGUGGUGCAUGUUCAGUCCUUGACAAAUUUUUACCAAAAUGAAGCUACUUUAUUUAAAAGGAGGGUGAGAGGUGAGGAGGUUGGUUUGGGUGUGGAGGAAAGGGAAUGCUGCAUCUUUUUCCUGGGCUGCUGGGGCUCUGGCCUUGGCUUCCUUGCUCACGCGGCUCCCUGCCUGGCGGGCCGGCCAGAAGCAGCGCGCAUUGCCUUCUUUUCCCAUUGGGUCCAGCAAUGAAGACAAGUGUUUGGGAAUUUUUUUUUUUUCUCCACCUUAUAGCAAGUUCUCAGGAAAAUACAAUUGAUAUCUUCCUCCUAAGCUCUUCCAGUCAGUCACCAAGUACUUAAGUGGCUACUUUGUCCAGGGCACAAAAUGCCUGUAUCUAAUUAAAAGCCUACAAAACUGCUUGAUAACAGUUUUGAAUGUGAGACAUUUAUGUAACUUAAAUGUAAGGUACAAGUUUUAAUUUCUGAGUUUCUUCUAUUAUAUUUUUAUUAAAAAAGAAAAUAAUUUUCAGAUUGAAUUGGAAUAAAAUAAUAUUACUUCCCACUAGAAUUAUACAUCCUGGAAAAUUGUAUUUUUGUUACAUAAGCAGCUUUUAAAGAAAGAUCAUUACCCUUUUCUCUACCUAAAUAUAUGGGGAGUCUUAGCCUAAUGACAAAUACUUAUAAUUUUUAAAUUAAUGGUACUUGCUGGAUCCACACUAACAUCUUUACUAAAUAUCUCAUUGUUUCUUCCAACUUACUCCUACACUACGUCCUACAUCUUCUUCUUAGUCUUUUAUCUAGAAUAUGCAACCUGAAAUAAAAAUGGUGGUAUCUUCAUUCAUUCUCCUCCUUCCUUUUUUCCCAAGCCUGAUCUUCAAAAGGUUGGUUAAUUUGGCAGCUGAGUUCCCCAGGCAGAGAAUAGAGCAGUUUUAGGUGUAUUGGGACUGAGGGAGGAUGUGUAAAGAAUAACAUCAGUAAAGAAGUGCUGUGGAAUAUUUAAAAACCUUCUUCUUUAUCUUUAUAAAUGGAGAAUAUAACCUAAUCAUAACCUCCCUCAGCCUUUACUAAAGUGUGGCAUAAAUCACAGUAGUAGCAAAGAAAGAGACUUUGGAUGUGUUCCUGGUCAAUACCUCCCUUACCAUGAAUAUAGACUCUCUCAUCAAGAUUUAGGAAUGUAAAUCAAAUCAAAUGUACCCAGCCCAGCCAAGCUAUGUAGUAAAGGACCUGAACAAUAUUAGGCAGAACCUAUAAAAUAAAUCAGGGAAUUAGAAAUUAUUUGAAGUUUUCAAACUAAAUUGCCCUGCUGUCUUUCAGCCUAGUAAAGCUUACUGCCAUUACAUUAUUUUUGCUACAAUACUUACAUUCAGAGGAGGGCCUACUGAAAAUUCCAUGGAUUUGUAAAAGAUUGUCCCAGUAAAGUGGAAAAUAAUCCUCAAGUUAUUAAUGAGUUUGAAAAACAAUGAGUUCUUAAGUCUUUGGUGAGUAGAGCAAGAUCCUACAAACUUCAGAAAUUGUAAAAAUGGAUUCAUGCUGAUUUAAAGAGCAUCUGUGUGCAUAAUACUGCCUCUCUUUUAAAAGCAGUGUCUAUUUUUCUUUUUAAAUUUGUCCCCAUAGAUGCUUUUGAACAUGAACAUGCUCGUGUUACCUUUUCCAGGAGCUCUCAGGCAGGGCCCCCUCCCUCAGCCUGGCAGAAACUGCCCAGGAGGAGCUGGUUAUGGAGGAAGCUUAGCGCUGGCAUUUUCACAGUUCAAGGUGAUAACGCUUUCUUCUUCCCUUUCUGUUUUAGAAUAGAUUGCUGUCUGAUUUGAAAAAGGGAAAUAGAUUUGAUCUCAAACGAAUCUGUGCCCAGAAGCCAGGCUCAGGGUGUUGAGAGAUUUGUAUAGUGCCCUCAAAAAAUAACAAAAUUUUAGCUUUCCUUUUUUCUUCUUUUCUCCAUCAGAUUCUUUUUUCUCUAGUUUACAAAUGAGAUGGAAAAGGAAUUUCCCCUGAGUUUUGUAUGCCUUUUUUUUUUUUUUUUUUGAUGCUUAGACUACAGAUAGGCAUGUUGAGCUCCUAAGAAAAUACAAGGAGAAAAAAAAAAAUAUAAGGAGGAACACUUCGUUGUGCAGAGCACUUUAUGAGUAGUUUGUGUGGAUAGGAUGUGACUGCUUCCCUGACAAGCUUGUGAGGCUGUACUUAUGUCUUUCCUGUAAGGCGGCUGCAGUGCCUUCUGUAGUGUAUAUAAGGAAAGGUUAUGCCUUCUGAAAAAUCUCAGAGCAACCAUAAGAAGAUUAUUUUAAAAUAUGUAGUAUUACUGAUGGACUUUUUCAUCAUUAAAUUAGUCUAGGAUCUAAACUUUUAACACUGAAAUAAUAUUGACCAAAAAGCAAUUUAUAAAAGGGAUUUGUGAAUAGAAAAUACAAUGUGAUCAUUUGUACUUAUGUGCACCUUAAAAGAGGAUUCUGUCUAGCUGUCAAAUUCUGGUUCGUUAACAUCCAGUCCUUGAUUGUGUUUGAGAUCUGGCAGGACAUGCUGGGGCACGCUAGCAGAUAAAAUCCCAUAUGCUUUAGGAUAGAUGUUAAAUUUAUGUCAGUGUUGGCAAAGAGCAUUGUGUAGUAAUAAAGAAUUCAAGACUUCAGCACUGUCAACCUGAAACUUUGUAAAUAUUUCCUAGAUUGUCAUUUGAUGCAGUCAUGGCUGUUUAUCACACAAUGUUAUCUUUUCCUCAUCAGACAAUGUUAGAACUGCUGCAGCCCCUCCUCAGAUCUCACCUGCCCCUCCUGUACAUUCACCUUUCCAGCCCUGUGCACACCUCAUUUAGCUUUAGUUUGAAACACAUUGCAGGGUUCAGGUGACCUCUUCAAAAACUACCUCCUCAGAAUGAGGUAAUGAAUAGUUAUUUAUUUUAAGAUAUGAAAAGUCAGGAGCUCUAGAACAUGAAGAUGAUCUAAGAUUUAACUUUUAUGUAUACUUGUAUUUGAGCACUCUCCUUUUGUCCUAAAGGGCAUUAUACAUUUAAGCAGUAAUACUGAAAAAUGUAGCUCGGAGUGUCUGAAUGUUGUUGAAAGUGGUGCCAGAAUCUGUUUUAGGGGUACGUAUCAGAAUCUUAACCUUAAACCGAUUGCAUGAAAUUAAAUAGUUAAUGGUAACACUUGACUAACAGAUAUAAUCUUAAUUUUUGGUAGGCUUUUAGCAAGACAGUACAUUUUCAUAAUGAGUUAGCCACAGCUUCAUCACAUGCACAGAUUUUCCUUUUGAGAUACUGCCCAGUUAAGAGGGUAGAAUGAUGACCCAUUUCUCAAGAUUCUCUUCUUUGUCCAAACCGGCAUUGGGAGUACUAGAAUAUCAGCACUUUGAAACUAGUGAUUCCAACCAUUAGGCUAUUAAAAAGCAAAACAAACCAAACAAACAAACCAUAGCCAGACACAGAAAGUUUACUGUGAGUAUAAACAGCAAAUAGGUUACAGGUCAUACAUUGAAAUGGUGUAGGUAAGGCGCUAGAAAAAUACCUUGACAAUUUGCCAAAUGAUCUUACUGUGCCUUCAUGAUGCAAUAAAAAAAAGCUAAAAUUUUAGCAGAAAUCAGUGAUUUGUGAAGAGAGCAGCCACCCUGGUCUAACUCAGCUGUGUUGUUAAUAUUUUUUAGUGUGCAAUUUAGACUGCAAAGAUAAAUGCACUAAAGUGUUUAUAGCCAAAAUCACAUUUAAAAAAUGAGAGAAAACACAAGUAAAUUUUCAGUGAACAAAAUUAUUUUUUUAAAGCACAUAAUCCCUAGUGUAGUCAGAUAUAUUUAUCACAUAGAGCAAAUAGGUUGAAAUCACAAUUCAGUGACAUUUCUAGAGAAACUUUUUCUACUCCCAUAGGUUCUUCAAAGCAUGGAACUUUUAUAUAACAGAAAUGUGUGACGGACAUUUUAAAUCGCUGUAGUUUGGGGCUGAAGUACUGUGUGCUGGGCAGCAAUCGUAUGUAUUAACUAGUGAGAAGGGAGAAAUUAAGGUACAGGACAGAAUUUGAUUUUCUGGUUCCCAAAGUACUGCUGCCGACCUAGACACUGAGUUUCCAGAGACUGAAAUGUAAACUUGCCGCUCAGGACUUGCAGAUUCAGUGGGACUGUCCUGCUUGUGCUGUUCAGAAAUGCUCUGAGGGCCAGGCGGGGGCUUCCAGGGGCUCCUCUCUGAGAGGACCGCAGACUAGCUAACGACCUGGUGGGCAGAUGUGAACUGGACUGUGUGCUUCUUGUAUCUUGAUUCCUCGCCACCCUCGAGAAAGGCUUUGGCGAGUUCUCUAGACGUUUCCACCAAGGUGUGUCACUAACACCCAUAGGUUGUUGAGCACCCGAAGAGUGCAAUAGCAUCUCUGCAUGACUGUAUAUUGGCCCGAGGAGAAUAAAGUGGCCAAUGUACUCAUGUUCCAUGUUGCCAGCUCUGGUAAAUUGAAAAUACUGGUAAGAUUUUUGUUUUAUCAGUACACUAGAGAGUAAGCUUUGUUUUGUUGUUCUUAAUUUUCACUUCCAUUUGGAAAGACAUUUAAAUUGAGUUUCAGUCCUAAAUUUUGCCAGUCAUGGUAAUUAGCAGUUUCUAUCAGGUAUUUUUAAGGUAGAAGAGGAUAGAAACAUAAGUUCUAAAAUCUUAAGGUAACCGUGGUUUAUUUUAAAAUGCUUAGGGGUGGUUAGUCUCUACCUCAAAAAAAGUGAUUGAGUGAAUCUUUUAUUUCAGCAUUCACAAGUUUGGCUGUUGUUUUUGUAAUACUUUUUUUUUUUUUUUUAACCUUUUGAACCCCUUUACCUAAGUGUCAAUGUAGUUUUAUUAAUAAGUCAGUUUCAUUAAAAUGUUUAUUUAGCAGUUUUGACUAAUUGCAAUGAUAUAAUAUAGCCAGUUGUGCAUGAGGACACAGCCAGUGAGUAUAUCUGGGGUUUUUUUGUGAUGCUUUUUUAAGACUUCUGUAGAUUUAUGAAGUAUUCAUUGAAAACAACUAAAAUACGUUUAUUCAUGUCGGUAUGAAAAAAAAAAAAAAGCUAUGUGCAGACCAUCUGCUUCUUCUGGCAGGCUGAGCACAUUGUCCAUCACCCACAGGUGGCUGGUUCUCAUCGCAGAAUCUACGUAGGGAAUCGGGCGUGAAAUUCACUUAAGAGAGCAGAGGAAGUAUUCUGUUUACAGGAAUGGAGAUGGGAGUUAUGAGCAAGUUGCUUAGUCAGUUGGCUGUUUUGAAAAUUACUGUGUUACAUUUGUGUGUUAAGCCUUUUUAACCUACUUGUGUUUUGACAGUAUAUGUCACAUAGGAAGAAACCUCAGACUAGCAUAAGCAACAGCUCACAGACUAGGCACAAAUGUAGACAAAAUGGACCAAAAUGGGAGGGGGGAAGGUAUGGGAAUAAGUCUAGGGUAGGGAAAAAUUGAUGUGAGGGUGGGAAAUAAACUGUAAUUACCUGAAAUAAAAUGUAAGAGUGCAAUAAGUGUGCUUUUUAUUCUAAGCUGUGAACGGGUUUUUUAAAAAAAUCAUUCCUUCCUAAUGCAUUUGCCUAUGUUCCCAUAGCUGAUUAAAACCAGCUAUAUAAACAUAUGCCUUUUUAUUCAUGUUAAUUACCAACAUAAAUGGCUAACCUUUACGUCUUAUUUAUCUUCAUGUUAUGUUAGUUUACCUACAGGGGUGUGUGUGUGUGUGUGUGUGCUAUAAAUUUUCCCUUCUUCAUUUGAAAAUGCAUUUGUUGGGUCCUCUGUGUUUCCUUAGGCCAUGCCACAGGUCAUAGUCUCAGCUUGGCCUUCCUAUCACCUGAUUUGAAGGACUAUCACAGUGACGUAGCUCGUUCAUUGGUUGUACACACUCUAACCCUUUUCCUUGCUCAGCAAUUACUGUUUCUUCUAAAACAGGAGUGUACAACCAUGAGAUUGAAAUUAACUGUUUAACAUAUGUCCCUUUGAAUUCUAUUUAUUAGUUAUGAUUGGUCUUUGGUUUGGACCAAGAAAAAGGAAAUCCCACCUCCCCACCUUUUCACUUAUUCUUAUUUUGAGGACAAUUCUUCUAUAAGAGAGAGGAAAGGGAACUCCUUCAUGUUUAACUGCAGCGAGUUAAUGGCCCUGGUUUACACCAAACCUUAUGGUGAUUCAUGUUCACAUUCCUCUCCUCUCUUGCUGCCAAAGGUUUGGGUUUUGUUCAGUUCUGCUCAAGCAUUGAAAAGGUUUUCAUGGAGUCUGGAGUGUGCCCAGUGAAAAGAUGGUUUUUAAUUGUCCACAGACCUCUCUGUACCUGCUUUGCAAAAAUUACAAAGGAGUAACUAUUUUUAAAGCUUAUUUUUCAAUUCAUAAAAAAGACAUUUAUUUUCAGUCAAAUGGAUGUCUCCUUGUCCCUUAAUCCUCUAUGUUUGCUUGAAUAUUUUUUUUUUUUUUUUCAAUUUUUCCCCAUCCCCACUUCUUGAUACUUCUUGAGUUCUCUUUCCUGCUCAGGUCCUUUCAUUUGUACUUUGGAGUUUUUUCUCAUGUAAAUUUGUACAAUGGAAAAUAUUGUUCAGUUUGGAUAGAAUGCAUGGAGAAUUAAAUAAAAAAGAUAGCUGAAAUUCAGAUUGAAAUUUAUUUGUGUAAAGUUAUUUAAAAACUCUGUACUAUAUAAAAGGCAAAAAAAGUUCUAUGUACUUGAUGUGAAUAUGCGAAUACUGCUAUAAUAAAGAUUGACUGCAUGGAGAA